UUAACGCGAAGAAACUUACCAACGUUUGACAUCCCUAUCGCGGAUCGUGGAGACACUUUCCUUCAGUUCGGCUGGAUAGGUGACAGGUGCUGCAUGGCUGUCGUCAGCUCGUGUCGUGAGAUGUUGGGUUAAGUCCCGCAACGAGCGCAACCCUCGCCUUUAGUUGCCAGCAUUUAGUUGGGUACUCUAAAGGAACCGCCGGUGAUAAGCCGGAGGAAGGUGGGGAUGACGUCAAGUCCUCAUGGCCCUUACGCGUUGGGCUACACACGUGCUACAAUGGCGACUACAGUGGGCAGCCACCUCGCGAGAGGGAGCUAAUCUCCAAAAGUCGUCUCAGUUCGGAUCGUUCUCUGCAACUCGAGAGCGUGAAGGCGGAAUCGGUAGUAAUCGCGGAUCAGCAUGUACGCGGGAAUACGAACCGU
RNAcentral lists this ribosomal RNA (422 nucleotides) under Sphingomonas sp. Pe69. Its description in RNAcentral is "bacterial SSU rRNA". It matches the Rfam family "Bacterial small subunit ribosomal RNA", at positions 956 to 1370 of the family's 1533-position model. The record is from RNAcentral. Lineage: Bacteria; Pseudomonadati; Pseudomonadota; Alphaproteobacteria; Sphingomonadales; Sphingomonadaceae.